Molecule: non-coding RNA, 226 nt
Organism: Pelobates cultripes (western spadefoot toad)
Lineage: Eukaryota; Metazoa; Chordata; Amphibia; Anura; Pelobatidae
Source: the annotation of a GenBank genome assembly
AGGUGUUGAAGGUAAUGUGCCUUCUAUUAAGGUAACAAUAUAAUAAGUCUUAUCUUGAAUAAAAAAGCACAGCAGAUUCCUUGGAUCUGGAGAUAUGGAAUGGUGGUACUACAGCAUUGUGGGAGCCAGGUAAACUCAAGGAUAUAAUAAAGAGAAGACAAUAGUGCACUCUGUAGAACUUCUGCAUAAGCAAUAAGUGAGCAGGGUGCCUUAAAGGACCACUAUA